Molecule: long non-coding RNA, 423 nt
Organism: Vanessa tameamea
Lineage: Eukaryota; Metazoa; Arthropoda; Insecta; Lepidoptera; Nymphalidae
Exons: 3
Source: RefSeq, a predicted model, not a curated record
CCUCCGAGCAGACGACUUCAAAUAUGUUUUUCUUUGCGGUACUCGUCGCUUGCUCUCUAUUCAUUAACGAUGCUCAACUAGAAUCCUACAAACGCGACUAUGAAAACUUCAGUUUCCCCAGAAAUAAAAAGAUCGUAGCCAUCGAUUAUGAUUGUGAAACUUACUGUAAGUGUCCACAAGGACCACCCAAUAGAUCUUCUGACCAAGACAUCGAAAUAUUUAGCACGUUACGGAAGCCAAAGGAAGAAAAAUACACUAGCGAUAAAUUUCCGAAACGAACCGAUGUAACGUCUCCGCAGGAGAUUGAGGCAGUAUAUAGCAGCUGGCGGAGAGGUGGACUUAAUUUUGAUAACCCUAUUAUACGAAAAGUAUUUGGUCGUGCGUAUUCUACUCCAUCGAUAUUUGACGAGAAUAAAGCAACUA